ACACGUAGGGGGCAAGCGUUUUCCGGAUGUAUUGGGCGUAAAGAGCUCGUAGGUGGCUGAGUAGUCGGAUGUUAAAUCUCCAGGCUCAACCUGGAACACCAUCCGAUACUGCUCUGGCUAGAGUCCGGUAGGGGAGUGUGGAAUUCCUGGCGUAGCGGUGAAAUGCGCAGAUAUCAGGAGGAACACCAGCGGCGAAGGCGGCACUCUGGGCCGGUACUGACACUGAGGAGCGAAAGCAUGGGUAGCAAACAGGAUUAGAAACCCUAGUAGUCC
RNAcentral lists this ribosomal RNA (273 nucleotides) under uncultured bacterium. RNAcentral describes it as "partial 16S ribosomal RNA". It matches the Rfam family "Bacterial small subunit ribosomal RNA", at positions 523 to 796 of the family's 1533-position model. The record is from RNAcentral.